AUUGAACGCUGGCGGCAGGCCUAACACAUGCAAGUCGAGCGGAUGAAGGGAGCUUGCUCCUGGAUUCAGCGGCGGACGGGUGAGUAAUGCCUAGGAAUCUGCCUGGUAGUGGGGGAUAACGUCCGGAAACGGGCGCUAAUACCGCAUACGUCCUGAGGGAGAAAGUGGGGGAUCUUCGGACCUCACGCUAUCAGAUGAGCCUAGGUCGGAUUAGCUAGUUGGUGGGGUAAAGGCCUACCAAGGCGACGAUCCGUAACUGGUCUGAGAGGAUGAUCAGUCACACUGGAACUGAGACACGGUCCAGACUCCUACGGGAGGCAGCAGUGGGGAAUAUUGGACAGUGGGCGAAAGCCUGAUCCAGCCAUGCCGCGUGUGUGAAGAAGGUCUUCGGAUUGUAAAGCACUUUAAGUUGGGAGGAAGGGCAGUAAGUUAAGACCUUGCUGUUUUGACGUUACCAACAGAAUAAGCACCGGCUAACUGCGU
Molecule: ribosomal RNA, 483 nt
Filed under: uncultured bacterium
Lineage: Bacteria
Description: partial 16S ribosomal RNA
Rfam family: Bacterial small subunit ribosomal RNA
Source: RNAcentral